CCUAGCCUGGGAACCUCCAUCCGUGGCUAAAAAGGACAAAAAGACAAAAAAAAAAAAAAAAGAAAAAAAGAAUUACAAAUUAGGAACAUCUCACAAAAUAAUUGCUAACUUCAAAAGUGUCUAGGUCACAAAAGUUAAGGAAAGACUGAGGAAACAGAUUAGAGGAGGACAAUGAGCCAUGACAACUAAACACAAAGUGGAAUCCUGGAUUGGAGCCUGGAACAGAAAAUAGACAUUAUGGGGGAAUUUGAAAUUAGAGUAAAAUCUACAGUUUAGUUGAUAGUGUUGUUUCAUAUUAAUUUCUUAGUAUGAUGGUUACGUGAUGUAUAGCUUUAAAGGAUGUUGGGUGAAUGAUGUAUAGGAAAUCUCUGUACUUUGUCAUGACUUUUCUUUAAGCCUAAAAUUAUUUCAAAAUGAACAGUUAAAAAUCUGCUAUGAGGCGUUCCCAUUGUGGUUCAUCGGGUUAAGGACCCAACAUUGUCUCUGUGAGGAUAUGGGUUCGAUCCCUGGCCUCGAUCAGUGGGUUUCGGAUCUGGCAUUGCCACAGCUAUGGCAUAAGUCUGAUCUGGUGUUGCUGUGGCUGUGGGUUUAGGCUGGCAGAUGCAGCUCCAAUUCAUCCCCUAGGCCAGGAACUUCCGUGUGCCACAGGUACAGCCAUAAAAAGAAAAAAAAUUUUUUUAAUUAAAAAAAUCUGCUAUGAUAUUAGAUUCCAUUGGUUAUAUUGAAAGGGUGACAUGAUACUUUAAUUUAAAUGACAUUAUUUGCAGUUUCCAUCAUGGCUCAAUGGUAACAAACCCAACUUGUACCCAUGAGGGUGCGGCUUCAAUCCCUGGCCUUGCUCAGUGGGUUAAGGAUCUGGCACUACUGUGAGCUGUGAUGUAGGUCACAGACAUGACUCAGCUCCUGAGGUGCUGUGGCUGGGGCAUAGGCUGGCAGCCACAGCUCUGAUUCAACCCCUAGCCUGGAACAUUCAUAUGCUGCAAGUGCAGCCCUAAAAAAGCAAAAAAUAAAUAAAUAAAAUAAUGCCAUUAUUUAUAAUGUGAUGAAAACUGCAUUCUAAUUGUAAAAAUUUUAGAUGUCAAAUUAGAAAUGUAUGAAGGGGGUCACUUUUCUGUACAGCAGAAAUUGGCACAACAGUUUAAAAUCAACUAUAAUUUUUAAAAAUAAAAUGAAUGAAAUAUAAAAAAAAUUGUAAAUGUGUGAAGGGAUAUACACUUGUUUUCAAAAUUAUUUUAAGACAUUUGCAAGCAAAAACAUUUGAGGACCACUGCUCUAUGACAGCCUUUCUCUCCUGUCUCAAAUGAGAAGAAGGCAAAAACCCAGCUCUUCUUCAAUCUAACAGCCCACCCACUGGAGGAUUUGGAUGAAUCCGUCUUGUCAUCACCCACAUUUACUUCUAUUUGCUUUCUUGCCUCUACACUCUUCUUGUAUUUCACCUCCCAAGCACUUUUAAUCCUCUUACUCCUGCUUAUCCAGUUCAACCUCAUGGCUUAGUCUUCAUGGUAGACAGGGUA
RNAcentral lists this long non-coding RNA (1514 nucleotides) under Sus scrofa (pig). RNAcentral's name for it is "lncRNA (ENSSSCG00045038178.1)". Lineage: Eukaryota; Metazoa; Chordata; Mammalia; Artiodactyla; Suidae. The record is from RNAcentral.